Hipposideros armiger (great roundleaf bat) is the source of this 264-nucleotide long non-coding RNA. RefSeq lists it as uncharacterized. The transcript is spliced from 3 exons. The record is from RefSeq and is a predicted model, not a curated record. Lineage: Eukaryota; Metazoa; Chordata; Mammalia; Chiroptera; Hipposideridae.
AGCAGAAAGCCACUGCCAGCACCUCUUUACCCAGCCAUGCUUUUAGCUUUUACCAUAAAGGGAAAUUCAUCUCUCUUCACUCUGACCAAUAAGCUCUCUACAUCUUUCUUUCCUAAAUAACGACUAAAGAAAUGCUAGAAUAUAUAUGACUUGGAAACUUUCUAAGGCACUUCAAGAUGAAUUAUCUCUUUCAACUUUGAACUGAAAGAAGAAGGCAAAUAAAUGCAGCAGAUAUCAGUGAGCUUCAUAAUUCCUCGUUCAUAG